Molecule: unclassified non-coding RNA, 211 nt
Filed under: Hevea brasiliensis (rubber tree)
Lineage: Eukaryota; Viridiplantae; Streptophyta; Magnoliopsida; Malpighiales; Euphorbiaceae
Source: RNAcentral
AAAAAAAAAAAAAAAAAAGGUUUUCUGAGUCGAUGUUUUGGCAGAAGUUUUAGUGGGAGAGGAGAGCUAAUCUACUGGGAUGGAAUAUAAAAAUGCAGUAAGACUAAAUUUUAUCGGAAAAUUACAUUGAUGAGUUUGGAAUUUUAGUGCAAGGGAUUAUUCACAAAUUGUGAAUUGUUGUUAUUAUAGUAAUAAUAAUAUUAUUAUUACU